This 497-nucleotide ribosomal RNA is filed under the name uncultured bacterium. RNAcentral's name for it is "bacterial SSU rRNA". It matches the Rfam family "Bacterial small subunit ribosomal RNA", at positions 8 to 525 of the family's 1533-position model. The record is from RNAcentral.
AGAGUUUGAUCAUGGCUCAGCCUGAACGCUGGCGGCGUGGCUAAGACAUGCAAGUCGUACGGGGCCGGUAGCAAUACCGGUCCAGUGGCGGACGGGUGAGUAAUGAAUCGCUAACGUACCCCAUAGCCCGGGAUAGCUGUCCGAAAGGGCAGGUAAUACCGGCAUGACAUCACUGCGGGGCAUCCCGUGGUGCUCAAAGGGAAACCGCUGUGGGAGCGGGCGAUUUCGUAUCAGCUAGUUGGUAAGGUAACGGCUUACCAAGGCGACGACGCGUAGCCGGACUGAGAGGUUGGCCGGCCACAUUGGGACUGAGACACUGCCCAGACUCCUACGGGGGGCUGCAGUAACGAAUCUUCCGCAAUGCCCGCAAGGGUGACGGAGCGACGCCGCGUGUGGGACGAAGUCCUUCGGGAUGUAAACCACUGUCAGGGGCUACCAAGUUCUGAGGGGCCCCAGAGGAAGGCACGGCUAACUCUGUGCCAGCCGCCGCGGUAAUA